Molecule: non-coding RNA, 174 nt
Organism: Steinernema glaseri
Lineage: Eukaryota; Metazoa; Nematoda; Chromadorea; Rhabditida; Steinernematidae
Source: Rfam
CGCUUCGUCAUUAGGGAGUAGCCGCUUCGGAUUACCGAAGAUCAGCGUCAACAUACUUGGCCUACACAGGGUCAUGGCGCUGAUAGCAACUAGCCUGGCAAGACUUUUGACCAUGGACCUUCGCGUUUGGCCGGGAGGGUUUGUGGUCAUUUGUCUCUUAUCCGGCCAGGAGUU